AAGGCCUUAGCUUAAUUAAAGUGUCUGAUUUGCAUUUAGAAGAUGUGGGGUAAAGUCCUGCAGGUCUUAA
Molecule: transfer RNA, 70 nt
Filed under: Vanmanenia stenosoma
Lineage: Eukaryota; Metazoa; Chordata; Actinopteri; Cypriniformes; Gastromyzontidae
Description: tRNA-Ala
Rfam family: tRNA
About the family: Transfer RNA (tRNA) molecules are approximately 80 nucleotides in length. Their secondary structure includes four short double-helical elements and three loops (D, anti-codon, and T loops).
Source: RNAcentral